Molecule: long non-coding RNA, 279 nt
Filed under: Elaeis guineensis (African oil palm)
Lineage: Eukaryota; Viridiplantae; Streptophyta; Magnoliopsida; Arecales; Arecaceae
Description: long non-coding RNA (EGUI_LNC045997)
Source: RNAcentral
GAAAUGGCACCUAGAUCAAUCACACUGAUCAACCUUAAUGGCAUGGGUCAACUCAAAUCACUUAGUGAUCUAAUCAAGAUAUAAUUCACCAAAUUGACCAAAUAAGUGAGAUCAAUGGGAGGGUCUGCUAAGCUUAUCUUAGACACCAUCAAAAUGAUCAGAUAAAUCACUUCCAAUUAAAAAUCACCGAUCAAAAUACUGAACUUACCAUAGAUACUAAUUGGUUAAUUAGUUUUGAUUUGACCAACCUAAUGAUUCAGAUUCAACUACUGAGCCACA